This 217-nucleotide long non-coding RNA is filed under the name Salvia miltiorrhiza (redroot sage). RNAcentral describes it as "long non-coding RNA (SMIL_LNC010620)". Lineage: Eukaryota; Viridiplantae; Streptophyta; Magnoliopsida; Lamiales; Lamiaceae. The record is from RNAcentral.
UUAAUUUGUGGUUCCACAUUUGCAACGUCUUAUGAUAUUUUUGAGAUGCUAUAAUAACCACAACCAUUUUCCAUAAACAAUCAUUACAUCGUAGCUGGAGAUGUGAGGCCUGAAUUUUGAUACAACAUAACUAUACAUGCAUCCCCUAAUGUCAUGAUCAUAUUUUAGUUCGUUGAGAUUUUCCAAUAAUUAUAAAGUGUCAAUAUGGAUAAACUUA